This 274-nucleotide ribosomal RNA is filed under the name uncultured bacterium. Its description in RNAcentral is "partial 16S ribosomal RNA". It matches the Rfam family "Bacterial small subunit ribosomal RNA", at positions 523 to 796 of the family's 1533-position model. The record is from RNAcentral.
AUACAGAGGGUGCGAGCGUUAAUCGGAAUUACCGGGCGUAAAGCGCGCGUAGGCGGCUUAUUAAGUCAGAUGUGAAAUCCCCGGGCUCAACCUGGGAACUGCAUCUGAUACUGGUAAGCUAGAGUUUUGGAGAGGGAAGUAGAAUUUCAGGUGUAGCGGUGAAAUGCAUAGAGAUCUGAAGGAAUACCAGUGGCGAAGGCGACUUCCUGGCCAAAAACUGACGCUGAGGUGCGAAAGCGUGGGUAGCAAACGGGAUUAGAUACCCCAGUAGUCC